GACAUAAAUCAAAAGUGUCUUUCCUCCCUCCCUAUUGAAUCUUCUCCGGAUUUAUUGGACACCGAAAUGGAGUCCGUCCAACGGCUGAAAUCAGGGUUCGAGCAGUUUAAGAAGGAAGUUUAUGAGAAGAAGUCCGAGGUGUUUAAGCAGCUUGCCGAAGGCCAGAGUCCAAAG
Molecule: long non-coding RNA, 174 nt
Organism: Phalaenopsis equestris
Lineage: Eukaryota; Viridiplantae; Streptophyta; Magnoliopsida; Asparagales; Orchidaceae
Exons: 3
Source: RefSeq, a predicted model, not a curated record